CCUACGGGAGGCAGCAGUGAGGAAUAUUGGUCAAUGGACGAGAGUCUGAACCAGCCAAGUAGCGUGAAGGAUGAAUGCCCUAUGGGUUGUAAACUUCUUUUAUCAAGGAAUAAAACGAGGCACGUGUGCCUUUUUGCAUGUACUUUAUGAAUAAGGAUCGGCUAACUCCGUGCCAGCAGCCGCGGUAAGACGGAGGAUCCGAGCGUUAUCCGGAUUUGUUGGGUUUAAAGGGAGCGUAGAUGGGUUGUUAAGUCAGUUGUGAAAGUUUGCGGCUCAACCGUAAAAUUGAAAUUGAUACUGGCAGUCUUGAGUACAGUUGAGGUAGGCGGAAUUCGUGGUGUAGCGGUGAAAUGCGUAGAUAUCACGAAGAACCCCGAUUGCGAAGGCAGCUUACUAAACUGUGACUGACAUUGAUGCUCGAAAGUGUGGGUAUCAAACAGGAUUAGAUACCCUUGUAGUC
RNAcentral lists this ribosomal RNA (460 nucleotides) under uncultured bacterium. RNAcentral describes it as "partial 16S ribosomal RNA". It matches the Rfam family "Bacterial small subunit ribosomal RNA", at positions 338 to 795 of the family's 1533-position model. The record is from RNAcentral.